This is a long non-coding RNA of Triticum aestivum (bread wheat), 2581 nucleotides long. RefSeq lists it as uncharacterized. The record is from RefSeq and is a predicted model, not a curated record. Lineage: Eukaryota; Viridiplantae; Streptophyta; Magnoliopsida; Poales; Poaceae. The transcript is spliced from 3 exons.
AGCUUGGUGAUCCUAAAAAAAAAAACUACAUCCAGUCCACUGCUCUCCCCCGCGUCGAUCCCAUCCUCCUCUCCCCCGCAUCGCCGCUGGCCUCACCCCAACAGGCGCCACAAACGGCGACUUCGCCUCUCACCGCCACCCCCUCUCAUCCCCUCCCGUCGUGGAAGAUCGAGCGACAACCGCGGCGUGGGCGGGCGGCGCCAACACGCUGCUCUCGGCCGCGGAGCUGCUCCCGCCGGGCCACCCGGACCCGUCCGUCGCCUGCUCGCCUCCCGCGGCGUCUUCUCCGAGCACACAGCCGACGGAGGACGGAGGCCGGAGGGGGUACGCGCUUGUGCUGGCGUGGCCCCGGUUCCACAAGGCCAUGCUCGACCCCGCUGGCGCCGAGCCCUUCGCAUGCGCCCACUCCGGCGUCCCCGCCUACGCCUACUACGGACAUGACCGGGAGGCGAACGAGGUGAUGCACGACGACGAACAUCUACUCAAGGACAUCCUGCUCGGGGAUGCUCCUCUUCGUCAGCAUCUCCAGCGCGUGUCUGAGCCGAUGCAGCAGCGGUGAAGGCUUUGCUUGUGCUUGUGUGCAUGCAGGUCCAGAAGGGCAUGUUCCUUGACAGUGCUGCCAUGGACGUCUUGUUGGAUCGGCAGGGAAGAGGUUGGAAUCUGUUGCUUGUGUGUGUGUGUAUGCAGUCACCUGGAAUAUGUUUCUUGUGUGCACGAGGUUAUAAAAAUGAAGAAAUUGUGCAUAAUCCCUUCAAGCUAUCAUGUUUCCUAAAAACUUGACUCAAUUGUUUCUGAGUUUUAGUGGCAUUUAACCUGACAUUUUCUCUGUAUGAAGUCAUCAUGUGGUCAUUAACAAUCAUGCAGAUGCAACAAGUCUUGUUUAGUACAGCGUGGCAUAUUGUUGCAUUCAAGUGUAAUGUCAAUCACUGUGCUCUAUUGUCAUUUUUGUUGUGUUCUUCCUAUGCACAUGGAUGCAUCAGCACAUCAUAUCAUAUUGUGGUAAGUCACUUUUUUGUAUUGAAAGCUAGUAAUUGUGCACUGGUGAACAUGAUAUUGCCUCCAAUUCCGUUUUUAUCAUCUAAAUGUCUAAAUGAUAUGCCUUACUGGUGGCAGGUCAAGCCAGAGGUGAUGCACAUCCAUAGAGUCAUGGUCCAAACCGUACACGGCACUCACAUGCCAUGACCAUCGUCAUCUUGUCGGUCAAGCGGAAGUAGUGGCUAUUGCUCCACCACAGAAGCAAAUGUGUGAGGUCUUAUUACCCUUGCUGUAUUCUGAAACCUCCCACGUGUAAUUAUUAACAUUUUUUUGUUAGUCCAGUGUUUGAGUUAGUAAGGUACUUCGAUACGUUCAAUGCUGUGCAAACAUACUCUAGUGAUGCUAUUGGAACAUAUUGGGCAUCUUCUCAUGCAUGACUGAACUGCUGUAGCUAAUCAUGAAAUUUAGUCGGGUUUGUUUUUUGGGUACACUUUUAGGUGGAUCUGAGUUUUCACCAUAACAACCUGUAUUUGAUUCUUAAGGUUUCACUGUCAGAAUUCAAAGUAGUAUAAGAAACCUACAGUUAUUGCCAUCUUAUGGAAACAACCUAACUGAUUCAUGUAUGUGACCUAGAUAUCAUUUUAUUCUAACCAGAUGGAAAUUGAAAAUCUUAGCCGAUUGAGCAUUUCGACCAACUACGAUACUUGGAGGUACUAUAACCUGAAGAAGUGCCUUGAACUAUAAUCUGAAAAUGACCAAUAUUCCGCUGAUGGUGUUGAACGAUUAAAUGCUUGUAAACCAUCUAAAAUUGUAAUCUCAUUUGCAUUGAUAUCAAUUUCAUGAUUGCUUAAACCCUCUGUAAGUACUAUGUCUGAAAAGUAUAGGUUAUGUUUUACAAGCAAUAACAUCGGUAACUACAGGUUGAACCCUCUAAUUUAUGUCAGCUACAGGAUGAUCAACCAAAAGGAAACAGAGCCCCCUGAUCUGUGUCGUGAAGAUGAACCUGAUUGACCAAAGAUUCGCCUGGGCGCACCAAUGAGGCGAGCUGAAAACACCUUCUACUUACUUGCAGGAAAGAAGUGUUCCUGCGCAGGGAUGAAUGAUGAACCUGAUUGGCCAAAUUGAUGAGUAGUACUCCCUCUGUAAACUAAUAUAAGAGCGUUUAGAUCACUAAAAUAGUAAUCUAAACACUCUUAUAUUAGUUUACGGAGGGUGUAUAAGAAACCUUCAGCAAACGAAGCGUUUGUGGCAGGGAUCGCUGGGGAGUUUUAACCAUCGCCGAGAAUCAAGGCUUGCAACACCGCCCAGGGGACACGGAGAAUCAAGGCUCGCCGCCCCACUGAGAAGAUUUUUAACGGACACGGAGAAUCAAGGCUCGCCGCCCCACUGAGGAGAAGAUUUCUAACGAUAUGGAAAGUUUGAUGCGCUGGCAGGAAAAGAAUCAGGCCUCCAUUAGAAAGAGUAUAUCCUAGAUCGCCCGUGCAAGCUAUUACAAGGGACUAGCAAACAUGCCCGUGCGUUGCAACGGGAAAGAAAAGCGCUUGUCCCUGACCUGAUAAGCACAACGUUCGUGCUUCACUAUGGAGAAAACACCAGUUGUCAUGAA